Molecule: ribosomal RNA, 497 nt
Filed under: uncultured bacterium
Lineage: Bacteria
Description: partial 16S ribosomal RNA
Rfam family: Bacterial small subunit ribosomal RNA
Source: RNAcentral
GAUGAACGCUGGCGGCGUGCCUAAUACAUGCAAGUCGAGCGAACAGAUAAGGAGCUUGCUCCUUUGACGUUAGCGGCGGACGGGUGAGUAACACGUGGGUAACCUACCUAUAAGACUGGAAUAACUCCGGGAAACCGGGGCUAUCGCCGGAUAAGAUUUAGAACCGCAUGGUUCUAAAGUGAAAGAUGGUUUUGCUAUCACUUAUAGAUGGACCCGCGCCGUAUUAGCUAGUUGGUAAGGUAACGGCUUACCAAGGCAACGAUACGUAGCCGACCUGAGAGGAUGAUCAGCCACACUGGAACUGAGACACGGUCCAGGCUCCUACGGGAGGCAGCAGUGGGGAAUCUUCGGCAAUGGGCGAAAGCCUGACGGAGCAACGCCGCGUGAGUGAAGAAGGUCUUCGGAUCGUAAAACUCUGUUAUUAGGGAAGAACAACUGUGUACGUAACUGUGGACGUCUUGACGGUACCUAAACAGAAAGCCACGGCUAACUACGUG